GCUUCCUUGGCUCAGUUGGCUAGAGCGCGAGUCUCAUAAUCUGAGGUCACUUCUGACUGAAUCUCGAGGUCGCAAGUUCGAGCCUUGCAGGGAGCA
Molecule: transfer RNA, 96 nt
Filed under: Lentinula lateritia
Lineage: Eukaryota; Fungi; Basidiomycota; Agaricomycetes; Agaricales; Omphalotaceae
Description: tRNA-Met
Rfam family: tRNA
About the family: Transfer RNA (tRNA) molecules are approximately 80 nucleotides in length. Their secondary structure includes four short double-helical elements and three loops (D, anti-codon, and T loops).
Source: RNAcentral